ACCGGUAAUCAACUACGACGACGAUUAGCUUACUUCCGUUUCCACCCUUUCCCUGCACACUGUUCCAUUCUACUUAGCCUACAGACGCUAGGUCGUUUCGGGAAAAAGGACAGUUACCCACCUCGGAAGAUCAAGACAGUUGGAAAGGGCUAUUGAUAUUGUGGAAGCGUUUUCUCACAGAUGUUGCUUAUCAGACAAAGGCUAUUUAACUACAUCAGAAAGAUAAAAACAGUUGGAAAUGGCUAUUCAUAUUGUGGAAACUUUUCUCACAGAGCUUGAUAAUCAGGCAAAAUGCUGGAACACCCUUGAAAGAGUAUUUGAUGCAUGAUAACAAGAGAACCCAAGCAUCAAUUUAUUUUAUACUUCUGGGAAAGAAUGCAUUUGACCCAAUUUUUAAAUAUUUAUUUUUUGUUAUUAAUGUUAAAUUUUCUUCCAAAACACAAUUAGAUUUUAAUUCUCUUCAAAUAUGUAUGUAUAAUAUAGCAAGUAAAGUGACAUAUAAAUCAUUUAGAAUUUGGUCGGAAAUCAUAAAGUAUUUAAUAGGCAUUACUAGAAACCAAAUGUAGAUCAAAUACACCCAGAAUUACAAAAAACCUUGACCUACAUUAAGGUGACUUUCCCUUGCUUAUGAAAUGAAAUACGGUUUAAUAUCCUGCUUUUCUGUGUUCUUAGAGUGAUUCUACCCUACCCUUAUAUCAAAUAUUUCAACUGUCAAGGGUUCUUUAAAGGGAACUCAGGGGUCCGAAUGGUUAACACGCACACAUUUGAUCAGAAGGUCUGUCAUUGAGUCAAAUAAUUCAAUUUUCAAGGGUUCUUCAAAGUGAACGCAGUUGGGUUGGUUUCGAUUCUGGGGGGUGGGUGGUGGCCGAAUGGUUAGCACGUGUGUGCUGUAUCAUACGGCCUGUCAUUGAGUCAACUGGCAUGGUUUCGAAUCCCGGUUUUAGACAAGGAGUAGGGUCGCCUGUGCAAUCUUGUGGGUUUUCUCCGGGACCUCCGGUUUCCUCCCACUGCUAAAGACCCCUACGCGCAAGCGAAUUAUUGAAAUAAAAUUAAACCAUAUGUUAGUCCCGAAAUGACCUAGUUUGUGUCGAGUGGACGUUAAACCCCAUUUCUCUCUCUCUCUCUUUUGAUUCCAGACUUGUACCCAAUUAUCCCUUGCCAUAUCCAACACUACUGAAAAGUGGGAACUAUGCCGGAAAAUCCAGUUGAAAUUUCUUGGCCAACGCCUUAUACUCACUGAACCACUGUGGCUUAUGACUUGUGAUUGUAUAUAAAUUUUUUGUACAUAUAUUUUUUUAUUUCAAUUCUGUAAUCUUGAUGCUUUGCUUCUUUUAUUUAUAAAAUAUUCAUUUUGUUUGGGUUUUUUUUAUAAUGAGGAAAAGGCUCUACAUCAUUUUAUUACUCCUGCAAAAUAGUGCAUUUUUCUUUUGUUAGUUUUCUGUGUAUGCUAGUUAUUUCUAGAUGCCUCACAAAUCACUUGUAGUAUGAUUUUGUAGCACUUUUUAGUUUUUGAAAUUGUUUCAAUUUAGUGCAUAAUUAAUCUUAUUAGUGCUUGGUUUGGAUGUUAUUAAAUUUAGAUAUAUUUGAAUUAUAUAUUUUGGGGUAUGGGGUAGGGAUACUGUGUACAUAUCUUUAUAUUCUCAGUUCUUGUUUUGGGGUAAAGAACAAUUUAAAUAGCUAUUUUAUAUUUUGUGAUGGGUAAAGUGG
Long non-coding RNA from Patella vulgata (common limpet), 1707 nucleotides. RefSeq lists it as uncharacterized. The transcript is spliced from 4 exons. The record is from RefSeq and is a predicted model, not a curated record. NCBI's taxonomy places the organism in Eukaryota, Metazoa, Mollusca, Gastropoda, Patellidae.